CUACGGGGGGCAGCAGUGAGGAAUAUUGCGCAAUGGGGGCAACCCUGACGCAGCGACGCCGCGUGAGUGAGGAAGGCCUUCGGGUCGUAAAGCUCUGUCAAAGGGAAAGAAGUGCAUGGCGGUUAAUACCUGCCAUGUUUGACGGUACCCUUAAAGGAAGCACCGGCUAACUCCGUGCCAGCAGCCGCGGUAAUACGGAGGGUGCAAGCGUUGUUCGGAAUUACUGGGCGUAAAGGGCGCGUAGGCGGUUUUAUAAGUCAGAUGUGAAAGCCCACGGCUUAACUGUGGAAGUGCAUUUGAAACUGUGAGACUUGAGUACCAGAGGGGAAAGUGGAAUUCCCGGUGUAGAGGUGAAAUUCGUAGAUAUCGGGAGGAAUACCGGUGGCGAAGGCGACUUUCUGGCUGGAUACUGACGCUGAGGCGCGAAAGCGUGGGGAGCAAACAGGAUUAGAUACCCUGGUAGUCCACGCUGUAAACGAUGUCAACUAGAUGUAGGGGGUGUUGAUCCCUUCUGUGUCGCAGCUAACGCAUUAAGUUGACCGCCUG
This 546-nucleotide ribosomal RNA is filed under the name uncultured bacterium. Its description in RNAcentral is "bacterial SSU rRNA". It matches the Rfam family "Bacterial small subunit ribosomal RNA", at positions 339 to 875 of the family's 1533-position model. The record is from RNAcentral.